GACGAACGCUGGCGGCGUGCUUAACACAUGCAAGUCGAACGGAAAGGCCCCUUUGGGGGUACUCGAGUGGCGAACGGGUGAGUAACACGUGAGUAACCUGCCCUUGACUUCGGGAUAACUUCAGGAAACUGGGGCUAAUACCGGAUAGGAAUCCUUGCUGCAUGGUGGGGGUUGGAAAGCUUCGGCGGUUUUGGAUGGACUCGCGGCUCAUCAGCUUGUUGGUGGGGUAGUGGCUUACCAAGGCUUUGACGGGUAGCCGGCCUGAGAGGGCGACCGGCCACAUUGGGACUCAGAUACGGCCCAGACUCCUACGGGAGGCAGCAGUGGGGAAUAUUGCACAAUGGGCGGAAGCCUGAUGCAGCAACGCCGCGUGCGGGAUGACGGCCUUCGGGUUGUAAACCGCUUUCAGCAGGGGCGAAGCUUGUGGUGACGGUACCUGCAGAAGAAGCACCGGCUAACUACGUG
This 465-nucleotide ribosomal RNA is filed under the name uncultured bacterium. Its description in RNAcentral is "partial 16S ribosomal RNA". It matches the Rfam family "Bacterial small subunit ribosomal RNA", at positions 28 to 507 of the family's 1533-position model. The record is from RNAcentral.